Molecule: ribosomal RNA, 393 nt
Filed under: uncultured bacterium
Lineage: Bacteria
Description: partial 16S ribosomal RNA
Rfam family: Bacterial small subunit ribosomal RNA
Source: RNAcentral
AUACGGAGGACGCGAGCGUUAUCCGGAUUCAUUGGGUUUAAAGGGCGCGCAGGCGGCCGUGCAAGUCAGCGGUGAAAGCCCGGGGCUCAACCCCGGAAGUGCCGUUGAUACUGCAUGGCUGGAAUCCGGUCGAGGCGGGGGGAAUGCGGGGUGUAGGGGGGAAAUCCGUGGAUAUGACACAGAACGCCGAUAGCGGAGGCAGCUCGCCAGGCCUGCAUUGACGCUCGGGCACGAAAGCGUGGGGAUCGAACAGGAUUAGAUACCCUGGUAGUCCACGCCGUAAACGAUGGGCGCUCGUCGUCGGCGGCAGACAGUCGGCGGCCAAGCGAAAGCGAUAAGCGCCCCACCUGGGGAGUACGGUCGCAAGGCUGAAACUCAAAUGAAUUGACGGGG